This is a long non-coding RNA of Pipra filicauda (Wire-tailed manakin), 9563 nucleotides long. RefSeq lists it as uncharacterized. NCBI's taxonomy places the organism in Eukaryota, Metazoa, Chordata, Aves, Passeriformes, Pipridae. The transcript is spliced from 2 exons. The record is from RefSeq and is a predicted model, not a curated record.
GUGGGGGCGAGCACCGAGCGGAGCGCGGAGGCGUGUGCGGGUCCGAGAUUGCCGGAGCGCUCCUUCGGCGGCGGCGGCGCUCCCGGGAAACUUGAUGGAAACGGACUGUCAUCCCUGGGGAGAUGCUUCCACCUUCUCCAUAACCACCAUUUCAGUGCUGGGAAACCAUGAUCAGAUCCAGCUGAGACUUCUCUUCUCCAGGCUGAACACAGCCAGUUCCUUCAGUCUUGCUUCCCAUGGCAAGUUCAUAUUUAAACAUCUCUGUGGCCCUCCAUAGGAACCCCUCCAAUUUUUCAGUGCCUCUUUUGAACUGGGGAAGACCACAGCUGGGGUCAGUCCUCCAGAAAUAGACCCACAAGGGCCAAAUAGAGUGGAAUAAUGGCAUCCCUUGAUCUCCUGGAUAUGGUCUUCCCCCCCCCCCCCCCUUCCGGUUUAAAGUAGAUAUCAUUUCAAUUUCCAAAGCAUGAUUGAAUCACAAUUGCUGUUAAGUCAAAAUCCACUGUUAGGUCGUUUUUAACAGCAUGUGUUGUCUCCAUAGUGGCUGCAAGAUCCAGCUAGGACUCUCACAGAUAAAAGUAAUCUAUUGGGGCAGUUGCAAACAUUGUACCAGCCUCUCAGCCAGACUUUUUGUCAGAAAUCAUGAACCCCAUGGCAGUCAGCAGCAUGGGAUAUGCCACUACCAGAGUUGCUACAGUUCACUGUUAAAUUUAUUAACUUAAACUGCCAGUGACAAUACAUAUGUGCUAAUAUUAUCAUAUGUUAAUAACCAAGGCCUGGGCAACUCGAGAGUGCCCAAUGUCUGUGGUGCAGCUGAGGAGGAGAAGUAAGGCAACAUAAGGCAGUUUAUAAUUAUAAUGAUACUGCAAUCAAGCAGCAUAACAGCUAGACCACUGAAAUGUACUCUGGGCCAUGUCUAGCUUCUGGUUUGUACUACUAAAGAAACCCUGGCAGAGAGAAACCACACUGAAAUAGUUUCAUUAUUUCACUAUGAUAGAUACUUUUAUACUGGUCUAAAGAUGUCUCCUGCAGGAGUGCAGGACAGGACUCCGUGGCUGUGUGAACACCACUGGGCUGUUGCUGUAUAUUUCUGCUGUUAAUAUAGCUUCCUCGGGCUCCUGCGAGUAUAGACAUUAAAAAUGGAUAAAGUAAGGUUCAUGUUUAACACAUGCAUAUAAGCAAGCAAACAAACACUUUCACAGAUGUAUUCUUUUUAUUCGUUCUCUUUGCAGCAUUAUGAAACCCAUGAUUUCUGCCAGCAGCAAACUUGUUGUGAGCUUUACUCUCACCAGAAAGCUCUCAGUCUGUCAGUGUGAAGUGGAGAAAUGCGGAGAGUCCAAUGGUCCCAAAGUGGUCCAUCAGUAUCAAAAAGAUUCCCAAACUGAAUGAGGGUCAGGCAGUAAGUCUCAAUGACUUCCCAAGUGGAUGUUUAAGUAAACAAGGAGCUAAACUGCUGGGCUGGUUGUUGAAGUAAUGCUUUGGCUUUUCGCAGAGAAAUCAAUAGAUGCAAAUCACAUGGAUACAGCCAUAUAGUAACCAUCUGCUUUUAAUAAAACACACAAAGAUAGGAAGCGCACACACUUCUGUUCGAGGCAUUUACUGACAGGCACCCAGCCUGGGCAUGACCAGAAGAGGUACCACCUCAACUCUUCUGCUACAAGUGGUCCUUUGGACACAGUGCAAGGCCAUGAACUUCAUGUCUGGUUUCUGGGAGAAAGCACUCGGAAGUUUGCAUUCUGGGUCCAGCACCCAGAUGUGUUAAGAGUUGCUUAUCUAGUUGCUUACUGUCUGAAAAGAUGGCUGAAUAUAGGCAGGGAAAUGUACUUUUCCUUUAAUCUCAUUCAAAGGACAGACUGAAACAGCUCUGCUGAACUUUUUGAAAGGGUUCAGAUCAACCCUAGGGCUGAGACAUGGCAUGGAAAACUGAGCAGCUGCAGUUAAAAAGCCCUGAAACCCACAACACUCAGAGAAGGCAAGGCUAGAUGGGUCUUUGAGCAGUCUGAUCUAGUGAAAGAUGUGUCUGCCUAUGGCGGGGCGGGUUGUUGGAUUAGAUGAUCUUUAAGGCCCCUUCCAACCCAAAUGAUUCUAUGAUCUAGAGUAGACUUCAUUGGGCGGCUCAAGUGUUGGCUCCUCAUGUUAUAAAUGAGUGGAUUUUGCAAAAGGCCGAUGCAGGGUUUAGCAGAGAAGGGAAGUCCAGAAGAGUGUCACUAGUGCAGGGUGUGCAAUGGUGAUAUCAAGUAGUGUCUUUCUACCCGUUUCUACAGCUCGAUUGCUGUGGGCUGUUCUGCCCUCUAGUGCCUGCAGCGACAGCUCCCUCUCUCUUCUCUCGGUUCCCCCUGUGCGUGCAGCACACACACACCCAGGAGCUGCAGACCGCCCCCCCACCCCCCCUUGCCACUCUGGGUGCAGAGCUGGCCACCCUUCGGCCUUACCUGCCUGCCGAGGACAGCUCCUGCUGGGGACACUGACCCAGCAAGGAAACGGUGUUGCUGCAAUGUAGCACAGAUGUACUUUUGUGAGGUGGACUGUCCCACUUGAGGAGUUGGCCUGUGAACCGACAGAUACGCUAGGAAGUGCAGGCACAUUUUGUCAGUCAUGUCUGGUACCAUUUCCAGUAAACCAUCAGGAAAGGACGAUUACAAAGAAAACCGAGACUGGACUUAGCAUGUGGCUCCAGCCCCUCACCUGAGUUCCAGGAGUCAGGGACUUAACGAGGAUUUUGCACUGGCAGAAAUUCCUAGUGGGACUCUUUGAACUUGAAAAGCUUGAGGAACAACUGCUUUUGCUCUAUUACCUGCUGAGAUGCCCAUUCAAGUUUGUGAGGAAAGACUAAUAUGAGUGAAAAGCAAUUUAUCUAACUGCUGUAGUAAAGUAAGGAAAUUUUGUUCCAAGAACAUUAUCAAAGCACUUGCAAACGUUAUUAUGAUGCUCUCAAUGUCCUUCAAGCACAGGGUGUGGGACAGCAGUAUUUUUCAACAGUAAAUCUCACAGUUUUUUGAUGUAUUGGAUUGUGUAGAAGGGGAUAGUAUUUCCCUGCCAUUCAUUGCACUAGUAACUUAUUUUGAUUUUUACAGCCUGUAAUCAACAAUGCCACAUAUGGAAAACAUGUUUUAAUGCUUUACUGUUGCUUAGGUUCCUCUUUCAGCAUGGGUACGGCACGAUACUUGUAAAUAGAGAGGAAUUAAUUUCUUCUUUCUGAGCCAUUCAUCUCCAUUUACUUGAUGACUUGCCUGUUUGUUACUCAGUUUCCAAAUCCUGUGUUCCUGCUUAAUCUGAUUCUUCCAGCUGGGAAGAGAUGGGAUCUGAAGGCUGUUCCUCAGCAACAGGUUGGUCAGUCUCUUCUUUCUCUGUGACUGGUUGGUCAGCAGCAUCUGCCUCACCAGACACCUGGGGUGCUGCAUCUGGUGGCCUGGGCUCUUCAGCAAGUGCUUCUGUCUGAUCAGGCAGAGGCUGACAGCUAAAUGCAUCUAAGCGUUUUUCAACCACUGUACGAAUCAAGGCUGAAACAGAAAGCCACCAUUAACAAACAUGGAGGAAAACCCCUAUAAUUUAACAUUUUUUAUAUAUUACUGACCUGUAACUUCUUAAACAGAGAAAGAACCCUGAAGUAACACUAAAAAUGAAAGAAUAUUUAAGUGAGACAAAACCAUCCCUGCUGCUGUAGCUAAAUGAUUGGUUUACACUCAAUGCAGUGAUUUGGAAAGGGUGCAAUAUUGGAAAUUUUUGUUGAUUUCCUCACAUUUGCUUCUCACUCACAGAGCAGGUCACCCCAUCAGGAACAAGGACUAGCCAGGUUACACAUAAGGUGAUGUUUUGGGCAGUCUUCAUUCAAAUAGGUUAAAAAUGGAUCCUUAGAGACUUUUCUCCCUGUUUCUCCUUAAGAGGGGAAAGAAGCCAUGAACUGUCUCAGCUGAGGCUGUGUUUGCCUGUACAAAAUUUGGGGGAUAUUCCUUUUGCAGAGAUGAUGUUUACUCAACAGUGGGUAACUGCGUAAAAGUCAGGAAAUACAGAGGGUAAAUAGCUGCUGACAUUACUUAUUGGCCUGUGCCAAGUGCUCUGUAUAUCUCAGAACUGGAGCAAGACUAUGAUAUCUAGUUAAACAAUUAAACAGAUUUAACAGGAAUGUGAUAGAUGUUCUCAUCAACAGUGUAUCCUGCAACAACAUUAUCCUAAGGAUGUUUUAAUUCAGUAGUCACAUACAAUAUAUUUUUUAUUAAAAGAAAUUUCCUUCCCCUCCUGAAGAGCUAUGUGAAGAAGUGAUCCUUGAAUGUACAUACUACCACAUAUAUCAGGAUAAAAAACCUAACAGACCAGCUGUAAUUGUCCAAAUCAUACUAUAUCUUAACAAAUAAAAUUCAGGGUCCCAGUUAAACUGAAAAUAAAUCUAAAGGAAGCAAACACAAUUUUAAUUAAAACUCAAAAUCCCAGCAAGAGGAAAACUAUAGGAAUGAGGAAGAUGUAAUGCAAGUGUAAAAAGUGGUUUGAUCUAGGAGCACUCCAGUGGAUAUACAUACAUCAUAAUUUUGUGAUUCUACACAAGAGAGAGUUCAGAUUGUUCAGGUGUUUCAACUACAGCCUCUGAAGACCGAAUAAUAAAAGAACCCAAAUACUUAGCUUGAACUAGCCCCCAAAAAAGACUGAUAUUUCAAUCUAUUUCAAAAGCAAGGACAAGAUUAUUGACUAUAGCAGGAGGUAAGCCCUUGUUUUGAUGAAAAAUGUUGGUCACCUCACUUCUCAGUCAAUCAUGGCCUAUGACUCUCCUCCUUUCAUAUAGGAGUGCUGGGAGCUUACACAAAUCAAUUAAGAGACUUUCAUGGUAUACAUGUGGCAGUACACUGGAUGGGCUUGUCUGUUCCCACUGGCAUAAUCAGGCACACUACAGAGAACAUAACAGCAAUGGUAGCUGUGUAACAGAGGAAGUAGAAGCUUUAUAGCAGAAAAAAAGAAUUGUGUUCUUUAACCAUUCUCUUCCUGACACAUGUUGUAUCUCCCAGCAUUAACACAUCUCAAACAGUAUAAAGCCAGGAGAGAGUGAACAGUGCAGCAUGACUGACACUCCUAUUAUUUCAGAUGAAAAUCAGUUACCUAGUUGUAUGUAGUAGUAGUUUUCCAACAUUAAAACAUUUUAAUAUAGUAAAAAAAAAAAACCAAAAAAAACCCUAAACACAAAGGUACUUGGAGUUCUUGCUAAAAUGACACCUCCUGCCUUAAUCCACAGUGACGAUGUAAAUGUGGUAUUUGUUCUAACCAGGAAAAAAGCAAUCAAGAACCUCAAGCAGCCCAGAUUACAUUACAGGAUUUGCUAACUUACAGUCAAGCAUUGUCCUCCCCAGAACCUUCUUCUGUAGUGUUUCUUCCACUUCUGACAUCAGCCAUGGAAGGAAUUUUGUCUCAAUAUCUGCAAGAAUUUAGCAGGAAGAAAGAAAGAGAAAAUGCCAUUUUAUUAAGGAUGACUGACAGGACUUGGGGGCUGUUUUUUAUUUGCUGCAACAAUUAAGGGAUGAACCCCCCUGCCAGAAAACACCUGAUUGUAAGAGUCAGAUAAAAUCUCUUGAGUGUUGUAUGGUUUCUUAUCUCCAGCCUCUCUUACUGAGUUCAUCAUUAUGGACUCUGACCAGAGUCCUCUCAACUGCAGUGAUUUUCAAAGAGGUCUGGCACCCUUGAAGGGCUAGCACAGUUGAGAUAUACAGUCAUGUUCUAGUGAGAUCCAAAUAACUAUCCUGAACAAGUCAGGAGAAUAACACUUCCUGCCUUGCUUUCAAAGACAUUUGGCGUGUGGUCUGCUGAAAGCAUUUGUUCCCUCUGACUAAAGAGCUCUUGCUUACCCAUGUACUUCUCAAAUCAUACUCUUUGUAUGCUGUGGUCCCAAAGCCUGCCCUGGUUGCAAAAUACACUCAGUUUCUGCAUUAACCCCAUGACUUAUUCUGGAGAGAGUGUAGCUGUUCCCAAGCCGUGGUCUGCGCCCAUGUGGAGCCUGGUGAAGUGGGGUGCAGCAAGGUAGCCCAUAAGAAAUGCUGGUGAUUCUAAAGGCUUGGAGAUCACUGAUGUACAAGUCCAAAAUUAUUUUCAGGGCCUAAUUCUAAUUGACUAAUUUCUCCCUUGCUCUGAUAAUCAUUAAAAAAUAUUCAGAAUGACAUACUGAUUUCUUUGUCUGUUCUAUCAAAACAUAUUUACUUCAAUUUGGAUAUCUCUCUCUUUCUCUCUACUGUACCAAUCCUAACCACUCAUUUAUAUCUGUCCAAUUCCAAAGCAGAUCUUUUCACUGUCACACUGUCAGCUCUUGCUUAUUCUUGACUACUUGUACAGAUGACCAAUAAUAUUUGUUUGUGUUAAAACUAUGAAUUCAGCCACAAAUGUAAAUUAAUAAAGUCUUAUGACAUUAUUCUAAAUAAUAGAAGAAUAUGCUAUGUUUUAUGGUUGUUUUGAGCUUUAUAUUACUUAGUUCAUAUAUUUUUAAAAAACAAAUACAAACCUCUUUCUAUAGGGUCAUAAAAAAAUCCACUGUCAUAAAGAUUGCUGAAGACUGAGGGAAUAAGGUCAGCCAGGUAACGCUUAGCAAAUGCCCGAGCUGCAAUUUUCUCCGUGGUCUCUUUCUGCUUCCGCAGCUUUUCCAAGUGCUCGAGUCUGCGACGUUCCUGUCAAGGUAAUUAUGCAUGUGAAACUUAGAGGCCUUUAGCUGUUACUUCUUUGAUCUAGACUUUGAAGAAUUAUCACAGUGCGAGUCUCUUAAAUUGCAAAGAUAAUCAAAACUGCAGAUAAUCACAGUCUCUACCUGGUAUUUGCAGCCUCUGCCUUCCACAAAAAGUCCUCAUAUGAAAGAGUGCUUCAAAGCAAGCUUGUACUCAAUCUAUGAAGUAUUAAAAUGCCCAAAAAUUACAGAGAAACACACUUCUGUGUUCUGUGGUCCACCUUUUCUGAUUUUGGGAAGUCUGUAAAAUAAGGGCUUCACAGCUGGCCAAAUGAAACCCUUCUCUGAUGCCUUAGUAUACAUUGAUCUCAUGCCUUCUUGCUUUAUUAUUGCAGAUCAAGCUGAUCAUUGGCCUUAGAAUGAGAUGAAGUUGGAUAGUGUUUCCUGAACUUUUCAUCUUUCCAAUAUUCUAUCCUAUUUGAUGAUUAAAAAGAUUAAAACUCAAAUUGGUCCAGGAAAACAUUAAAAACCCCAAUUAUACAAGACUGAUGAAUAGUGAGUAAGACUUGCCUUUUCUGUUUAUUCCUAUUUACCAAAUAUUAAUAAUAUAGCAUAAUACUUGGAGAUCUUGAGAUGUACGUGUGCACAUAGAGUAGUGCAUGCAUUGGGUGUGAAAGUCUAGGAAGUGUCUCUCUUACUUUUGAGCACUCUGACUAUUAAUUUAGAAGUUAUUAUAAUGAAAAGAUUUAAGAAACAGCUGCACCGGGUACAGAAUAAAAAGCUGUUGGUCUGGUCUCUUGAUCAGAUGUCCAAGUAUACCAGGUCACUCAAGCGUGACUGCUCCAAAUAAACACAACAGUAUGAUGGUGGUGUAUGAGAGCACGUGGCAGAGUGCAGCUCACCAAAAUGCUAGGAGGAAUAUCAAAGUUAACAGUGCCCUUUGGGGUAUAUCCAGCUUAUCUCACAGCUUGUCAUUCAGUACUGGAAAUGUUUUUCUCCCUUCUGAUGAGCAUUCAGACUGUUUUGCUGUUAGGCAGGAAGUCCUACCUUCUCCUCUCUGAUACGCCUGUCCUGCUCUUCCAGGCGCUGUAAUUCAGCAAACUCUGCGUUACGCAGCUCUAUAAAGGCACGCUGAUGUGCCCGCAGCUGGGCCAGCUCUUCUUCCUCCAUGACUUCCAGCAAAGCCUGCUCAACUGUUUUCCCAAUCAGCACUUCCAGGAUUGGCUUAACUUCAAUGUCAAAGUCAAACAACUGAGGAUAAGAAUCACGGAAACAGAGAUAAAUGUCCCUUCAUCACAACUGCUCUUAACAAGUAUUGGCAAGGAGAACAGGAGGCUGAACAAAGCCCUUGUGCUGAAGGUAGGCCAGAGAAGUGCAGGUGGGGCCAGUGUCAGCUGAGGCAGAAAGAAGCAUGAGUGCAGCUGGGAGGUAAGUGAUGAGUGGACUGGAGUGAGAUACACACACCCUACCACAGCCACUGUUGGGACUGCCAGGGACAAGCUGAGCAUUCACUUGGACCCUGUUUCUAUGUUCCCCACCUGUUCUUGAGCUGGACACGUUUUACAGAAGAGCGCAUUUUUCAGCACUGUAAUUCUUAGCUGAAAGCAGCAGAACCAGUGCAUAUGGAGAAGUAUCUUUCUUAAUUUUGCACCUAACAUCAAAGCAGACAUUGGAAAGUUGGGUUGGGUUUUGGUUUUUGGUUUUGGUUUUUUUUUGCAUGUUCUGUGAGGAUUAGUUCCUUUCUGUUUCUACUUCAAUUUUGCAUCAGAAAUGUGUUUUGCAUGGGAGACAUACUUCAACAGCACUUUGUGGACUGACUUUGCUUCAUACCUCUCCUUCUUCUAUUUGCGUAGCUAUAUCUUUUCCCGUUUUGGCUGGUAUGAAGAGUGGAGUAGGUGGUCUGUCCAAAAAUUCAUCUGUUUGACACUCUCCAUCAACCUCUACUAUACGAUCACAAAUCUCUUCCAGAUACAGUUCUAGAAACAAAAGCACAUUGAAUACUCAAAGCUGGAUUCUUUUUAUUUUAAGUCUAAACUAUUUUGAUGACUCUACACUGUGAAUUAUAUCCAAAGAGUCAAAUAAAAUGUCUUAUAUAGAGUUAAAAAAAAAAAAAAGGCAGCUCAAAUUAAAACAUAGAUGAGUUUGCUGCAUAGGCCACCUGAUGCUAUGCUCCCUGUAAUGUCAGGUGCACUUCAUGGAAGUGAUCCCCAAAAAGGGUAGUUCACUUGAAGCAAAAUUUUUUAAACCUCUCAAUUUUAAGCAUAUAUGAAACUUCUCUGAUGAUCCUGGAAAAGGAAAGAAUAAAUAAAGAAGUCUUGACUAGCGUUCAAGAAUGUACACUGAAAACUGCAAAACAGACCUUCUGGGAAAAUGUCACUAAUUAGACAAGUUUAUAAAGGGUUAUAAUGGAAAGGAUUAUAGAACCUCUGAUUCUAGCAUUCUAUGAUUUUAAACUUAUCCCUGUGUGAUUCUACCAACUUCAUCAUCAGCUUAGCAAGUGAAUAUAGAUCAGCAAGCUUUAUUUUCAGAUGCAUAUUAAAAAAAAAAAAGCCUUUUACCUGUUUGCACAUAAACAUGCUCUCUGCCUUCCACAGGCUCUGGUGUUCCUGGUCGAAUUGGCUCUUUUGCACGCUUUCUUGCCAGUGCUCUUUUCUGUGCACCCUUCUGCUUUUGAACCUCAGGGGGAUUGGGUUGGGUACUCUGAGCAGGGAUGAGGAAGGAAAAAAACCACAAAACUGUGUACUUGAAAAUGAUAUUUCAUUCUUUCUACAGGAAAUUGAAGAUUGCUGUUUGAUUUGACUGCCAGCAAUCUAGCAUUUUGGAUUUACUUUUCUGGGUCCUGACUCUAAAUUUUUGGUUGACUUAAAGACUGUAGGGCAUGAAACUAAUAAAAUAGGCUAGCUGCCUACAGGCACAUACUAAUGGCAUCUCACAGUAA